RNAcentral lists this ribosomal RNA (435 nucleotides) under uncultured Porphyromonadaceae bacterium. RNAcentral's name for it is "bacterial SSU rRNA". It matches the Rfam family "Bacterial small subunit ribosomal RNA", at positions 349 to 782 of the family's 1533-position model. The record is from RNAcentral. Lineage: Bacteria; Pseudomonadati; Bacteroidota; Bacteroidia; Bacteroidales; Porphyromonadaceae.
CAGCAGUGAGGAAUAUUGGUCAAUGGCCGAAGGGCUGAACCAGCCAAGCCGCGUGAAGGAUUAAGGCCCUACGGGUCGUAAACUUCUUUAGUCAGGGAACAAAGGGCGCCACGUGUGGCGCUGUGAGUGUACCUGAAGAAUAAGCAUCGGCUAACUCCGUGCCAGCAGCCGCGGUAAUACGGAGGAUGCGAGCGUUAUCCGGAUUUAUUGGGUUUAAAGGGUGCGUAGGCGGUUUGUCAAGUCAGCGGUAAAAAUUCCGGGCUCAACCCGGUCCCGCCGUUGAAACUGGCGAACUCGAGAGGGAGAGAAGUAGGCGGAAUGCGCAGUGUAGCGGUGAAAUGCAUAGAUAUUGCGCAGAACUCCGAUUGCGAAGGCAGCCUACCGGCUCCUGUCUGACGCUGAGGCACGAAAGCGUGGGUAUCGAACAGGAUUAGA